Molecule: ribosomal RNA, 149 nt
Filed under: Lacticaseibacillus rhamnosus
Lineage: Bacteria; Bacillati; Bacillota; Bacilli; Lactobacillales; Lactobacillaceae
Description: Lactobacillus rhamnosus partial 16S ribosomal RNA
Source: RNAcentral
GUUAGGGCGGUUACCACGUGUUACUCACCCGUCCGCCACUCGUUCAAAAUUAAAUCAAGAUGCAAGCACCUUUCAAUAAUCAGAACUCGUUCGACUUGCAUGUAUUAGGCACGCCGCCAGCGUUCAUCCUGAGCCAUGAUCAAACUCUC